CGAAAGCCUGACGGAGCAAUACCGCGUGAGGGAGGAAGGCUCUUGGGUUGUAAACCUCUUUUAUCAGGGGAGAAUGACGGUGCCUGAAGAAUCAGCAUCGGCUAACUCCGUGCCAGCAGCCGCGGUAAUACGGAGGAUGCAAGCGUUAUCCGGAAUUAUUGGGCGUAAAGCGUCCGCAGGUGGCUCAUCAAGUCUGCUGUCAAAGGCAGGGGCUUAACCCCUGAAAGGCAGUGGAAACUGGAGAGCUAGAGUGCAGUAGGGGUAGAGGGAAUUCCCGGUGUAGCGGUGAAAUGCGUAGAGAUCGGGAAGAACAUCGGUGGCGAAAGCGCUCUGCUGGACUGCAACUGACACUAAAGGACGAAAGCUAGGGGAGCGAAUGGGAUU
Molecule: ribosomal RNA, 384 nt
Filed under: uncultured bacterium
Lineage: Bacteria
Description: bacterial SSU rRNA
Rfam family: Bacterial small subunit ribosomal RNA
Source: RNAcentral